AGCGAACGCUGGCGGCAGGCUUAACACAUGCAAGUCGAACGGGCGUAGCAAUACGUCAGUGGCAGACGGGUGAGUAACGCGUGGGAACGUACCUUUUGGUUCGGAACAACACAGGGAAACUUGUGCUAAAUACCGGAUAAGCCCUUACGGGGAAAGAUUUAUCGCCGAAAGAUCGGCCCGCGUCUGAUUAGCUAGUUGGCGGGGUAACGGCCCACCAAGGCGACGAUGUCUAGCUGGUCUGAGAGGAUGAUCAGCCACACUGGGACUGAGACACGGCCCAGACUCCUACGGGAGGCAGCAGUAGGGAAUAUUGGACAAUGGGGGGAACCCUGAUCCAGCCAUGCCGCGUGAGGGAAGAAGGUCCUCUGGAUUGUAAACCUCUUUUGGCAGGAACAAACCUGCGCUAUACGCGCAGCUGAGGGUACCUGCAGAAUAAGCACCGGCUAACUCCGUGCCAGCAGCCGCG
This 466-nucleotide ribosomal RNA is filed under the name uncultured bacterium. RNAcentral's name for it is "bacterial SSU rRNA". It matches the Rfam family "Bacterial small subunit ribosomal RNA", at positions 29 to 519 of the family's 1533-position model. The record is from RNAcentral.